Molecule: non-coding RNA, 96 nt
Organism: Borealophlyctis nickersoniae
Lineage: Eukaryota; Fungi; Chytridiomycota; Chytridiomycetes; Rhizophlyctidales; Borealophlyctidaceae
Source: the annotation of a GenBank genome assembly
AGGGUAAUAACUCAGUGGUAGAGUGCUCGCUUCGCAGGGAUUUUCGUCCGGAACAUGCGAGAAACCCAGGGUUCAACCCCGGAGCAUAUUUCUCUU